Molecule: unclassified non-coding RNA, 236 nt
Filed under: Hevea brasiliensis (rubber tree)
Lineage: Eukaryota; Viridiplantae; Streptophyta; Magnoliopsida; Malpighiales; Euphorbiaceae
Source: RNAcentral
UUAAAAGGAGAUCAAGCUCUAAAAAAUGGUAAAUCUGAUUAUGGUGCUCUGACCAAACCUGCAUUGCAAAUACCCCCAACAGAUGGUAGCUGGAAUAUCAACCAUGGCAAAACGUUUUUGUUAAAAUUAAUUUGGAUGUCUAAUUUGGUUUUUAGAUGCUGAAUUUGUUCAUGCGUUGGAAUAUCCAAUGAUACAUUUUUUUAAAACUUGUACCACUGUACUAAAGAAUGAUAUCA